UUAACAAAAACAUGUCUUUUUGAGUUAUUUUUAAAGUCUGACCUGCCCACUGAAAUUUUUAAAUGGCCGCAGUAUUUUAACUGUGCAAAGGUAGCAUAAUCAUUAGUCUUUUAAUUGAAGGCUGGUAUGAACGGUUGGACGAGGUAUAAGCUGUUUCAUAUAAAUUUAUAAUAGAAUUUUAUAUUUUAGUUAAAAAGCUAAAAUAUGGUUAAAAGACGAGAAGACCCUAUAAAUCUUUAUAUUUUAUUUUGUUUAAAUUUUUUAGAUUGUUUUUGUUUUUAUAAUUUAAAAUAUUUUGUUGGGGUGAUAUUAAAAUUUAAUGAACUUUUAAUUAUUUAAAAUCAUUAAUUUAUGAGCUAUUGAUCCAUUAGUAGUGAUUAUAAGAUUAAGUUACUUUAGGGAUAACAGCGUAAUUUUUUUGGAGAGUUCAUAUCGAUAAAAAAGUUUGCGACCUCGAUGUUGGAUUAAGAUAUAUUUUUAGGUGUAGCCGCUUAAAUGUUAAGUCUGUUCGACUUUUAAAUUCUUACGUGAUCUGAGUUC
RNAcentral lists this ribosomal RNA (540 nucleotides) under Bactrocera paramusae. RNAcentral describes it as "partial 16S ribosomal RNA". It matches the Rfam family "Bacterial large subunit ribosomal RNA", at positions 1804 to 2612 of the family's 2925-position model. Lineage: Eukaryota; Metazoa; Arthropoda; Insecta; Diptera; Tephritidae. The record is from RNAcentral.